UUAAAAACAAUGAACGGAAGAGUAGAGCAAGGAAUCAUUUCAGAGAGCUUUAAGUGGUGAGAUUAGAGCAUGUACCUUGUUUGAAACACAUCUGCGAGUUUACUUCUUGAGCAAGUUAGAGAAGUACGGGUGAUCGUUAUCUCAUAGAGUUGUUAUUUAUAACUUGUUGAGCUGAUAGUUGUGAGAUUAUCAGAAACAUGAGGUGGAACCACGUUGAUGCGUCCUCUUG
This 229-nucleotide non-coding RNA is filed under the name Pediococcus cellicola. Its description in RNAcentral is "T-box sequence". It matches the Rfam family "T-box leader". Rfam says of the family: Uncharged tRNA acts as the effector for transcription antitermination of genes in the T-box leader family. Lineage: Bacteria; Bacillati; Bacillota; Bacilli; Lactobacillales; Lactobacillaceae. The record is from RNAcentral.